CUUGCUUUUCUGAUGACGACCGGCGCACGGCGUGCGUAACGCGUAUAGAAUCUGCCUUUUGCUGAGGAAUAGCCCAGAGAAAUUUGGAUUAAUGCCUCAUAGUAUACAGAUUUCACAUGAAUUUUGUAUUAAAGGUUACGGCAAAAGAUGACUAUGCGUCCUAUUAGCUAGAUGGUAAGGUAACGGCUUACCAGGGCGACGAUAGGUAGGGGCCCUGAGAGGGGGAUCCCCCACACUGGUACUGAGACACGGACCAGACUCCUACGGGAGGCAGCAGUGAGGAAUAUUGGACAAUGGAGGCAACUCUGAUCCAGCCAUGCCGCGUGCAGGAAGACUGCCCUAUGGGUUGUAAACUGCUUUUAUACAGGAAGAAACAGUUCUACGUGUAGAACCUUGACGGUACUGUAAGAAUAAGGAUCGGCUAACUCCGUGCCAGCAGCCGCGGUAAUACGGAGGAUCCAAGCGUUAUCCGGAAUCAUUGGGUUUAAAGGGUCCGUAGGUGGAUAAUUAAGUCAGAGGUGAAAGUUUGCGGCUCAACCGUAAAAUUGCCUUUGAUACUGGUUAUCUUGAAUCAUUAUG
Molecule: ribosomal RNA, 579 nt
Filed under: uncultured Formosa sp.
Lineage: Bacteria; Pseudomonadati; Bacteroidota; Flavobacteriia; Flavobacteriales; Flavobacteriaceae
Description: bacterial SSU rRNA
Rfam family: Bacterial small subunit ribosomal RNA
Source: RNAcentral